CUCUAGUGAGACUGCCGGUGUUAAACCGGAGGAAGGUGGGGAUGACGUCAAGUCCUCAUGGCCUUUAUGCCUAGGGCUGCACACGUCCUACAAUGCACUAUACAAAGCGUUGCGAACUCGCGAGAGUAAGCUAACCGCAUAAAGUAGUGCCCAGUUCGGAUAGCAGGCUGAAAUUCGCCUGCUUGAAGCCGGAAUCGCUAGUAAUCGCGGGUCAGCAUACCGCGGUGAAUGUGUUCCUGAGCCUU
Molecule: ribosomal RNA, 245 nt
Filed under: uncultured Planctomycetales bacterium
Lineage: Bacteria; Pseudomonadati; Planctomycetota; Planctomycetia; Planctomycetales
Description: partial 16S ribosomal RNA
Rfam family: Bacterial small subunit ribosomal RNA
Source: RNAcentral